GACGUAGGGGGCCAGCGUUGUUCGGAAUUACUGGGUGUAAAGGGUUCGUAGGCGGUGCGGCAAGUCGGGAGUGAAAUUUCUGGGCUUAACUCAGAACCUGCUUCCGAAACUGCUGUGCUAGAGUGUGGGAGAGGCGCGUGGAAUUGCAGGUGUAGCGGUGAAAUGCGUAGAUAUCUGCAGGAACACCCGUGGCGAAAGCGGCGCGCUGGACCAUUACUGACGCUGAGGAACGAAAGCUAGGGGAGCAAACAGG
RNAcentral lists this ribosomal RNA (253 nucleotides) under uncultured prokaryote. Its description in RNAcentral is "partial 16S ribosomal RNA". It matches the Rfam family "Bacterial small subunit ribosomal RNA", at positions 524 to 776 of the family's 1533-position model. The record is from RNAcentral.